Molecule: long non-coding RNA, 145 nt
Organism: Sinocyclocheilus anshuiensis
Lineage: Eukaryota; Metazoa; Chordata; Actinopteri; Cypriniformes; Cyprinidae
Exons: 3
Source: RefSeq, a predicted model, not a curated record
UGAAUGAUGUUUUUACCUUGUUUAUUUUCAUAUAAAAAUAUGGCAUGCGGUUGCUUCAGAUAAUGGUAUAAACAUCACUCAAUGUAAACGGUGAUAAUCGUAAUUAAUAUCGCAAUUACAGUUUCAAGGGAAUAAUCGACAGUUU